GACGAACGCUGGCGGCGUGCCUAAUACAUGCAAGUCGAACGCAGUGGGGACGGGUGAGUAACACGUGGGUAACCUCCAAUCAGAGGGGGUAACACUUGGCAACAGGUGCUAAACCGAUAUUGAUGGGUGGACCCGGGGUGCAUUAGCUAGUGGGUGGGGUAACGGCUCACCACGGCCACGAUGCAUAGCAGCCCUGAGAGGGUGAGCGGCCACACGGGGACUGAGACACGUCCCAGACUCCUACGGGAGGCAGCAGUAGGGAAUCUUCGGCAAUGGACGAAAGUCUGACCGAGCAACGCCGCGUGAGUGAAGAAGGUUUUCGGAUCGUAAAACUCUGUUGUUAGAGAAGCGGUAUCUAACCAGAAAGCCACGGCUAACUACGUGCCAGCCGCCGCGGUAAUUC
RNAcentral lists this ribosomal RNA (403 nucleotides) under uncultured bacterium. RNAcentral describes it as "partial 16S ribosomal RNA". It matches the Rfam family "Bacterial small subunit ribosomal RNA", at positions 28 to 526 of the family's 1533-position model. The record is from RNAcentral.